Molecule: non-coding RNA, 27 nt
Filed under: Rattus norvegicus (Norway rat)
Lineage: Eukaryota; Metazoa; Chordata; Mammalia; Rodentia; Muridae
Source: RNAcentral
UGACAUUAAUUGUUAAAGUGAGAUUUG